AUUGAACGCUGGCGGCAGGCUUAACACAUGCAAGUCGAGCGGCGAGGUUGCUUCGGUAACUGAGCUAGCGGCGGACGGGUGAGUAAUGCUUAGGAAUCUGCCUAUUAGUGGGGGACAACAUUCCGAAAGGAAUGCUAAUACCGCAUACGCCCUACGGGGGAAAGCAGGGGAUCUUCGGACCUUGCGCUAAUAGAUGAGCCUAAGUCAGAUUAGCUAGUUGGUGGGGUAAAGGCCUACCAAGGCGACGAUCUGUAGCGGGUCUGAGAGGAUGAUCCGCCACACUGGGACUGAGACACGGCCCAGACUCCUACGGGAGGCAGCAGUGGGGAAUAUUGGACAAUGGGCGAAAGCCUGAUCCAGCCAUGCCGCGUGUGUGAAGAAGGCCUUUUGGUUGUAAAGCACUUUAAGCGAGGAGGAGGCUACCGAGAUUAAUACUCUUGGAUAGUGGACGUUACCCGCAGAAUAAGCACCGGCUAACUCUGUGCCAGCAGCCGCAGUAA
This 500-nucleotide ribosomal RNA is filed under the name uncultured bacterium. RNAcentral's name for it is "partial 16S ribosomal RNA". It matches the Rfam family "Bacterial small subunit ribosomal RNA", at positions 30 to 523 of the family's 1533-position model. The record is from RNAcentral.